UGGCAUGCCCAAAAUGCUUCCCCCCGGAUACUUUAUAAUCUGUGGGGAUAGGGCAUGGCAAGGCAUACCUAGUAAUCCAAUUGGAGAACCAUGUUACCUUGGACGAUUAACAUUAUUUGCACCCUCCCUACGCCAGCUGCAUAAUAUUAAUGCUAGGCAUGCUCCUCGCAAUAAGCGUUCUAUUCAUUCCUUUGCUCCCGAUUGUAAGGACACCAUUGAAUUUUUAGACCCUGUGUCUCGUAUAUUUGCAGCAUUUUUGGCUCCUGGUGUGGCUUCUGCUCUUGCUUUAAAUAAUUUGGAAAAGUUGGCAUGUUGGAGUAUUAAACAGUUUAAUUUAACCUCUGAAAUUAUAACUGCUUUAUUGCAAGAUGUAGACAGUAUACGACAUGCUGUUUUGCAAAAUCGUGCUGCUAUUGAUUUUUUGUUGCUGGCACAAGGACAUGGAUGUGACGAAUUUGAAGGCAUGUGCUGUAUGAAUUUGUCCGAUCAUUCUCAUUCUAUUCAUGCCUUGCUUCGACAAUUGCAAGCUAAUGUUAAUAAGUUGAAGCAAGUCGACAACCCCUUAUGGGAUUGGCUCGCAGGUUUUGGUUGGCCCAGCUGGCUUGUUUCAUUGGCUCAUACGAUUAUUAUUAUUUUGCUGGGCAUAUUAUUUUUAAUUCUUUUUAUUCCUUGCAUAAUUCAAUGUAUUCAACACAGCUUGCAGCGCCUUGUAAACUCAGCAUUUAAUAAGAAGGGGGGAGUUGUGGGGAAUUAUCGUGUAUUUUAGACAAAGAUUGUGAAGUUAGUCUGGAAAAAUACUGAGAUUCUUGUAAUGGUCACAUGACUGACUGAACUUUAGUUAACUUUGAGUAGUGAAGUAAACAAGGCCGUGAAUGUUGCCCGUAUGUCUUCUGCUCUGUGCAUUCUAUGCACGUGAUAUUUUUUCUAGUCCAAUCAAAUGGCUAGCAUGUAUGAUGUCAGCACACAUGAUUAAUGCUUAUGUAACCAGACUUAACUAUAUAAAAGAGAGGGAAAAAAUAAAGAGAGUUCUGUUCUGAUCA
This 1040-nucleotide long non-coding RNA is filed under the name Gopherus agassizii (Agassiz's desert tortoise). Its description in RNAcentral is "lncRNA (ENSGAGG00000020753.1)". Lineage: Eukaryota; Metazoa; Chordata; Testudines; Testudinidae. The record is from RNAcentral.